GGGGCUGGCCUGCACGUUAGAAUUAUUUAUUAAGAGCUUUUAUACCUAAAGGUAGGCACUUCAUAAAAUUUGGGUUUUGGCAAAAGGCGUUGGUUUGAUGUCAAUAUCUUAACCUUUCCAUUAACUGUAUUACUUUUUCAAGGGAGGAGAUUAUCAAAAUAUUAUGAAAGAGAAACAUAAAUUUGUCUA
Molecule: non-coding RNA, 189 nt
Organism: Ceratotherium simum simum (southern white rhinoceros)
Lineage: Eukaryota; Metazoa; Chordata; Mammalia; Perissodactyla; Rhinocerotidae
Source: RefSeq, a predicted model, not a curated record